RNAcentral lists this long non-coding RNA (4776 nucleotides) under Nicotiana benthamiana. RNAcentral describes it as "long non-coding RNA (NBEN_LNC014953)". The record is from RNAcentral. Lineage: Eukaryota; Viridiplantae; Streptophyta; Magnoliopsida; Solanales; Solanaceae.
AGAUUUUUAGAGCCUAUAGAUGAGAGAGAUUUUUAGAGAUUUUAGAGAUUAUAUAGAACUUUAAGAGCUAAAAUACAGAGAUAUAGACUGCCAAAAUUUGGGAGCUAAAAAAAUACUACUGAUUACUGAAAUUCUCAAUCUCUAAAAUAACUGAUGAUCUUUGUGAAAGUUUUAAAAAUAGUUUGAAUCUGGGUUUUUGGCUUCUAAGUUGAAGUUGAUUUCUAGCUAAAGCUACUGUUCUAUCGCUGCUACUUCCUUACUUUUUUUCCUUUAAUUUCCAGGUACAAAUUUCUGAACCCCUCAUAAAUGUGAAAUCCAAUUUGAAGAUGAAACGAAGCAGUUCUACAUCUUAAUAUUAGUUUCUUUUGUGCUGAAAGUAUUUAUUUCUCUCAUGCCUCUACACCUUGUUCGUCAAUGAUGUAGUUUUUAGAGAUUUUUCUUUUAGAGUAGUUGACAUCUCAGGAUGUAACAGAUUGUGGACUGUUGAGACUAUGACUUUUUUAGAUUUUGUUUGUUUGAGUAGCUUUAGUAGUGAAGUUUAAUUUUGAAACCCAUGUUAGCUUGAAUGUAGAAGCAAUUUGGGAACUAGUAGGUUCUAUCAUUAUCCAGCGUGCGUAGACUUUUAAGUGCCUUCAAGGUGUGCUAUCAUGUUUAAAUGUUAAUUUUGCUCAUAAAGCAUGAAAAAAUCAUCGAGAGUUUAGUUUAUAAUAUCACUGAUUCCUUUUAAUCAUGUUUGAAAUAUUAGUUUAAAUUUAAAAUUUGGAAUAUUGUGUGGGCCUGAAAGUGAUACGUGUGUUUGCACUAGUGUAAUUUUAUGGCUAUUAGAUGUUUUAAGAUUGUGUUAAGUUGAAUUGCGAUCCAUGUUAUUUCCAUAAUCUCAGUUUUAUGGUUGUGAGUAUAUGAUUUUUGUCCUACAUGAAUAACUCCUAUAAAUUCAAACAAAAUCAUUUCUUUUAUUGGUAUGCAAUUUUAUGAAUUUUGUGGCACCUUUCGUUAUUUGUUCGCAUUUGUUUGUGCAUUUUAAUUAGGGAAAAAUACAAAAAAUAUAUCGCAUGCGCAUUUUGGAGUAGAUAUGAUAUUUUUCAAGCAAUAAUUAGCUAUUAGUCAUUUUAUAAAAGGAAAAACAAAAAAUAGGUUCAAUUUGCUCUUUUAAUUUUAAUUUUUAUAUUUUUAGGUAAUUGUUUCUCUAAUGUUUUGAUAAUAAUUAUAUAGGGUUGGUUUGCAUUUUAUAGGUAAAAUUGAGAUUUUGUGAUUAUUUUAGGAGUUUUAGCAGUUUUUGUGAAUGAAAAUAAAAAUAAAAAUGAAAAGAAAUCUGAAAAUUCAAUUCAAAAAAGAAGACCCAAAAUUGGGCCAUUUUAAAUAAAAUUUCAGCCCAAAACACCAUAAGUACCGGCCCAUUCCACACCUAAACCUGUCCAACCCACCAAUACAAAAUGAUGUCGUUUUGGUGUCAUUCAAUCUCGAUCGUUUAGGUUUUAGAUCCUACGGUCCAUGAAGCCUGGUCUUUAUGUAUAUAUGUGUUCGAACCCCCCUACCUCCCAAAAAUAACGUCGUACCUUGUCUCUAACAUCACCCUCAAAAACUUUAGACCCACCGCCGCCCCACCGUGCGCUGCCAGCCGGAAAUCACCUCUACCGGCGGCAAUGUUCUAAAUUACACCAAAUUUACACCGUUAACUCCCCUUAACCUUCUCUAUCCAAAUAUGCAACCACUGUCCCUCGAAUCACCCCCAUCGCCUCAAAUAUUAGCUGAAAGUUUUGAAUCCGUUACCGUGCACGGCACCGCAGCCUCUUCUCCACCCCAAAUUGAUACCAAACAACCCCAAUGCCUCCGUCAUGCCAAAUCCAUACUCAAUCGUACUCAAACACUUCCACAAUCACUCAAAACCCAAAUCUAGGGUUUUCCAGUUUCUCUGAUGGUACAUGAAGGCCUUGACUCGUGUUCAGAGUCUGAUUCAACUAAUGCUAAGUUUUCUAUGUUCUUUGUCUUAUUUUAUUUUCUCUUCGCAUCAUCUCUUAUUCCAUUAAUCUUGUUAUUUUAUGUAAAAUCCUGAGCUCAAGUUUAAUUAGGGUGGUAUCAGUUUUAUUUUGGUUAAAUUAGUUAGUUAAGUUAAUUAGGGCCGUGUUGUUAACAAUGCAUCAGUAUAUUUUGUGAGUUAACUCAUAUCUUUUGUGGUUGGCUUCCAUGUUUAGUCCAAAGUAGUAAGUUAAAUUUCGUGAUAAGACCUGAGGUCAUUGUUGCACGCUGGUUCCGUGUAACAAUUUGGUUUUCUAUUUUUCCUUGAGUUCUGCAUUUUUUUAGAACUUGCAUAAUUUGAUCAAUUUGGAUUGGUUUUAUUGGCUUAAACUUGUUAAAGACCUGAGAAUUUAGCCCAACAGACUAAAAGAAAUUCAAUGGAAAUGGUAGAGGGUAAUUAAUAAUACCUCAAAGGGUAAUUUGGAUAUGUCUAGGUUAGAGAAUCUUUCACAACAAAAUAGGAAGCUUCUACUAGGGGUUGUUAUUGAAUUUCAGAAUGUAUGGUAGUUUAAUUUGGUCAACAAGUCAUAAAAGCGGGGACUAAAAUGAAAUAACUAAAUCUAAGGUUUCCCUACUUUCCUUGUCCAUAAAGGCAUUAUACUUUCCUUAGAAAAAGGGGGACCGAAGAACAGAAAAUUCUAGACGGCUAAAAAGUUUAGAAAAAACAUUGUUUCAUUGAGUUCUUCUAGUAGUUUUUGAACUUUUCCUGGGGCUGAAACAAGUUUUGAUUAGCUGAAAUUCGAAAAAAUAAUUUAAAUCAAGCUUUAUUGAAGUAUCUUGGUCUAUUGUUUGGACUGAAGCUGUACUCUGGGUUGUUUUACCUCACUUUUUGGGUGUGAAAUUUGGUUCUAAACUGCUGAUUCUGUUGUCUUGUUACCGCUGCUGAAUCUCACCCCUUGGUUACUCUCAUUUCUAGGUACGCUUCUAUAUUCUACCCCAUGUGAAUGUUUGAGUUAAAAGGUUAAAUGGAAAGCUUAGUUUCAAACAUGGCGUUGUUUUCAUUGAGUUAAUUGUAUGCUUCGGUUUUCAUCUGGGAUUUGAUGUUGUUAUCUUAUUUGGUUGAGAUUAGAUUGCAUAUGUGAAAUCUGUUUAGGGUAUUUGUAUAGGGCUCAUUGGUUACAAACUUGUGUCCAAUUAAAUGUUGGUGCUGUAUAAUUGAACAUUUUUAUCCUUGUUGCUUAAUUUUGAAUCCUUUUAAGAGUCUGGUAGGCAUGUUAAUUGGGUUGAUUUUGUAGCUAAUCUUGCCUUCCCACUGAGGGAUUGUAAACUCUCUAAAGGGCCAAGGACUGAUUGGUUUCCAAGGUUUCGACACUGCUUUGUCUCUAAAAAUGAGUGAAUUGGUUUGAAGUUUUGUGCUGCACUCGAUACAUAGUUCUAGUUUGGAUAUGACUUGCAUAGUCAUUGGCUAUUGGGUUAAUCAUGUAGUUUUUUGUAUGAAAUAGGAACCUUUGUUUAAUUAGCUUGUGCUUCAAAUUGUAAGUUCAGCGAGUUAUUCUGGGCAACUUUUACGAAAUAACUGGAAUAACGUAACGUGGAUCUGCCAUAACAACUUGAUUCAAUAGGGCAUGUCCAUGAAUUUGAUUUUAGUUUAAUUAAUUUAAAAAGAGAUGUGAAGAGUGUAUAAACAUGCCUAUGUAGAAUUACGGUUGUGAAUGGAACAAAUUCCUAAUGCUAUUGGUUUGUAUGAUUCACAAUUGUAACACCCCAGAAUUACUGAGCCCAUUUUAAAUCUGGACUUCAUGACAGUUGCAGGGAAAUCAAGAAUGCUCAAGGUUGCUUCCAUGCAAAUAUAAUUAAUUUUUUAGAAAAUAAUUCGAGGCGUGCCAUAUGUAACCAAAUUGUGAAAUCUAUAGCCCUAAAAAGUUUAGUUCAAACACCCUUUCAAAAUAGAACCCGAGGUGCACCACUUAGAAAACUUUCGCGGCCCUCGCAUACAUAAACACAAAAAAUUGACUUAGGCGCGCUAGUUAAAUAAUUUAUCUUCCUAAUUACGGGUGCGCAUUUGUGUGACCCAAAUCCAAAUCCCAACAAUGUUAAAAUACAUCAAAAGUCGCGGGUGCAUUUAUGCGACGUGGUUCGAGAUGUGUUUUAAUAACGUUGCAAUCUUCUUAAAAUUAAAUAAAGGUGGUUAAAAGUAAAUAUGCACAUAGGCAUUAAAACUUAAUAAAAUCAAAUAAUUAAGCCAAAUAUAAUAGUUGAGCAACUCUACUAGAACCAAAGAACUCGGGAGUGCCUAACACCUUCUCCCGGGUUAACAUAAUUCCUUACACGGAUUUUUGGCUCACAAACUGUAUACAGAGUCAAACCUUCCUCGAUUCGGGAUUUAAAUUGGUAACUUGGGACACCAUAAACUAUCCCAAUUGGCAACUUUGAAAUCUCUUAAAUAAAUAAAUCCCGCUUCAAUUAUCCUUUAAUUGGAAAAACUCCCUUAACUAUGCUCUUCACGGGGUGUAGUGUAAAAAGGAGGUGUGACAGCUCUGGCGACUCUGCUGAGGAUCAAACCCAGAAUCUCUAGUUCAGAGUUCAAGAACAAAAGCUUUAAAUAAUUGUUGUAUCUGGCUUUGUUAUUAUCUGAUUUUAUUGUAUAAUUGUGCCCAAUGUGUUAAAUGUUGUUUUACCACUUUAAUAUUAUUUGGACUGUAUAUAAACUGCUGCGAAACCCUUCUCUUCUCAUCUUCGAAGAUGUGUUCGCUUGUCGAGGCUCCCUAUUCUGUUAGUGUCAUACCUUCAAAUAAUAAAGAGGCUCGGACAAGUUACAAA